CGUGGUCUGAUGAACCGGUUUUUCACCCUCGGCACCCAGGGGAAGCCGGUCCGAAUCCGGCGCUGACCCGCAACCGUAGAUCCGCCCCCGGGCGGAUGAGCCGGAAUGCCUGGACCGGGGGUCUGUUCUCG
RNAcentral lists this non-coding RNA (131 nucleotides) under Streptomyces sp. Lineage: Bacteria; Bacillati; Actinomycetota; Actinomycetes; Kitasatosporales; Streptomycetaceae. The record is from RNAcentral.